CUCGGUUCGCUGGCUUAGCCUCUGCAAAAAAGAAACAGAAAGAGGUUAGUGAAAAUUCAAUAGCUCAUUACUCAAAAUUUACAAGAUGUUAAUCAACAGCAUGAUGAUGGCUGUGGUGCUGGUGCCGUUGAUUUAGCAUCCUUUUCCAUGGAUGUUCACAAGCUUGCUCCUCUUAGAUUAUAGUACCAAGUGUCUUAGAUUUGCGUGUUAAAAUCAUUUCUAUUUGAGUUCUUCAAAUGUUACAAAUAGAAGAAACUGAACUUCAGCAUAUACUUUUAAGCUAUCUAAUCUUUCAAAAACUAGAUUAAUUCUAUAAACAAAUAAACAUGCACUUUAUUCCCGCAUUCUACCUCAUGCAACUGGAUAAUUGUUAUUUCUAACACUAGUUAAUUUAACAAGGACCUAAUGUGGUCGAUAUAAUCCACUAGGUUAGGCUACAACCAUUAUUACAUGAUUCUCAUAGGUGAGAGCCCAAUCAAUCAUGUCAAAGGUUUCAUUUAGAAGGUAUUUAGAUUGUCAAUUCAAGAAUUUCGAGUAAAGUAAAUUGCUGAAAAAUGUCUAGCUAUUUAUCAACAGUAAAAUCUAAAAGCCAGUCUUAAGGUCGACAGAAUUUCUAUACGAAACAAUUGUCUUAAAGACCACAAGAUUCUAUAUGAAACAAAUUACAAAUAUAUCAAAGGAAACCACAAGAAACCCGACCUCAAGUUUUUCACCACGUUCUGCAAGUUUGUCCCUGGCCUGUGCAGCAGCAGCAGCAGGAUCCUGUAACAAGUGAUCCCCUUGUCAGAAAAAUAUAAGCCACAAUAUUAAUACUAAUAAUUAUUUGCACUUUACCUCCUUCCUAUACUUGGCCUUAAUUUCUUCAGCUGUUCUAAGUCUUGGCUUUGAAUCAAUAGUUGAUCCCUCAAAUAAUCUUUCUUUUUCAGCUCCUUUAUCUGUAAGAUAGCAAGAAGAUUGUUUAAGCUCAAACACAUUCACAGUUCAAAAAUAUAUUGGAUUAAUGAUAUGGGUUAAACCUUUUUUAUCUUUCUUAUUCGUCAAUGAUGAAGAUGAGACAACAAGAGGUUCAUCAAUAACAAUGUCAUCUGCAGCAAAUAGCAAUAGGUAAGAAAAGAAAUAACAGGGAUGGAACUAGAGGAAGAUGUUCAGAGCAGGAGAUAAAGAACCUAUGUUCAGCUCCAAAACUUUUUGCUUAUCUGAGAUGUCCAGGGAAGGCUUUAAAAACGGGGGAUUAGAAAAUAUGCUCUCUAAAUGAGCCAGUUAUUAUCACAAACUUCAGAAAUAUCCAUGCCAUGCUCUAGCUUACCCACUUGCAGGCCCUUGAUGAAACCACCUAAAAUACCAGAAGGACCAACCUGUUGCCACAAAAUUAAUGAAAAAUCCCAGAAUUUCUCAUGAAAAGAAAGAUGGGGAGCUGAUAGCCCAAAACAUAAACCUCAACCUGUUCCUUCUGACUGGGAGAUGAACUCAUAGCACCAUCAGCAGCAGCUGCAAGGACUUUGUCGUGAAGGCAAGGCAAUGAUUUUGGAAUCCUAAAAUUAUCAAAGGAUUCUCUUAGAAAACAACUUUUUAUCUUUGCAAUCAGAGUUCCAGGCAAUUGGCCAAAUGGCAACAUGACAAAUACACUGGAUAAAUGCAGAGGGAGAAAGAGAAGGCAGAGACCUGAAGUUAUUCCCGCAGGUCAAAAGAGAAACAAAAGCAAAUUCACACGCAUUUACCUACAAUACAAAAUGUUAGCAAUCAGGUCAUUUACAAUCAUGCCAAAAUAUAAUAAGAAAAUAGAUGAUGCUUAGAUGCAUAUUGACAUACUAAUUACAGUAAACCUAACAAUUAUGUUGGACAACUAAGGAUGUCUACUCUGAUAAAAAAAAAAAAAAAAAAACUAAGGAUGUCUACUGCUGUAAUCUAGGUAAGCAAGUUUAGAGCAGUACAAUCACCAAGGUAAAGAUGUCAAAUAAGCACUCGAUGCAAGUGUACAGCACCAAUUUGUACUAGAAGCAAAUUCUAGUAACACCAAAAAUCUAAAAGCAAGGAUAUGAAACAAUACUGUAAUAUCAAUACUUGAACAUGCUAUGAAGGCCAGAGAGAAUUUAAAUGUCGUCUUAGAAAUUUGUCUUGCGACAUGAUUAAACACGCAUAGCUUUUUCUACUACACCAUCCUACCUAUUUGUCAAGAGACGUUUCAGUUACUUUGAACCUUCCAUGUAGUUUAUCAUUCAGUCAUUUAAGUUCAAGUUUUAUUAUUAGUUAUAGCAAUAGCACCAGGAGACUGCAAUCUGCAUGAUCACCAACAACAGUUUUUCUAUUCCCUUUUAGCAUUAUCCAGCUCAGCUCGUUCUCACUGACUAAAUACCUGUAACCAAUUUUUAUGAAUGCUAGUUUAAAACAAGUGUGUAGAGAAGGAAAUAGUCACUAUACAUCUGUUUAUAAAUCAAUCACUCCAUAUUGUCUGUAGUGUGCAUUCCUGUUGAUCCUUGAAUGCAGGACCAGUCGAAUCUUAAUUACUCUUAGAAACAGCAGAAGUUUUGGUCACUGUAUUUUCUUAUAACCUAGCUGCCGUGUAGGAAUGUUUUAAGUACAAAGCCUAAUUCAGUUUUCAUUUUUUCUUAAUCCAAAGGUAGCAACCAUGGCCCCAACUGCCACUCACCACCUUCCUACACCCAGCCCAUUUUUGAGCAAGGAUGAAGGCGAAAAUCAGUUUGUAGCAGUGCAGCAACCAGGAGACUACUAGUGAGCAACAUGACAACAUCAGCACUGAGGGUGAGCAUUCAGUCUAGGCCUAUUGAAUAAACCGAAAAUUUAAUAGUAUGAACUGACCUAAUAGAAUAAGCCGACUUUUGUAUAAACCAAAUAUGAAGCCAAAUUGAAAAACCAAACUAAGUGAACCAAAUUACAUAAGGUCUAAUGUAAG
This 2911-nucleotide long non-coding RNA is filed under the name Ricinus communis (castor bean). RNAcentral describes it as "long non-coding RNA (RCOM_LNC002313)". Lineage: Eukaryota; Viridiplantae; Streptophyta; Magnoliopsida; Malpighiales; Euphorbiaceae. The record is from RNAcentral.